RNAcentral lists this ribosomal RNA (468 nucleotides) under uncultured bacterium. Its description in RNAcentral is "partial 16S ribosomal RNA". It matches the Rfam family "Bacterial small subunit ribosomal RNA", at positions 28 to 507 of the family's 1533-position model. The record is from RNAcentral.
GACGAACGCUGGCGGCGUGCUUAACACAUGCAAGUCGAACGGAAAGGCCCUGCUUUUGUGGGGUGCUCGAGUGGCGAACGGGUGAGUAACACGUGAGUAACCUGCCCUUGACUUUGGGAUAACUUCAGGAAACUGGGGCUAAUACCGGAUAGGAGCUCCUGCUGCAUGGUGGGGGUUGGAAAGUUUCGGCGGUUGGGGAUGGAUUCGCGGCUUAUCAGCUUGUUGGUGGGGUAGUGGCUUACCAAGGCUUUGACGGGUAGCCGGCCUGGGAGGGUGACCGGCCACAUUGGGCCUGAGAUACGGCCCAGACUCCUACGGGAGGCAGCAGUGGGGAGUAUUGCACAAUGGGCGGAAGCCUGAUGCAGCGACGCCGCGUGCGGGAUGACGGCCUUCGGGUUGUAAACCGCUUUCGCCUGUGACGAAGCGUGAGUGACGGUAAUGGGUAAAGAAGCACCGGCUAACUACGUG